GCUUACGUCCAUACCAACCUGGCUAUGCCCGAUCUCGUCUGAUCUCGGAAGCUAAGCAGGUUUGGGCCUGUUUAGUACUUGGAUGGGAGACCGCCUGAGAAUACCAGGUGCUGUAAGCU
This 119-nucleotide ribosomal RNA is filed under the name Carassius auratus (goldfish). Lineage: Eukaryota; Metazoa; Chordata; Actinopteri; Cypriniformes; Cyprinidae. The record is from RNAcentral.